This is a non-coding RNA of Electrophorus electricus (electric eel), 542 nucleotides long. The record is from RefSeq and is a predicted model, not a curated record. NCBI's taxonomy places the organism in Eukaryota, Metazoa, Chordata, Actinopteri, Gymnotiformes, Gymnotidae.
AGCUAGUUAAUAAUUUUACAAAUACAUAAACCCACCAAAGUGGUGAAUAUCUGAUAUGUUUACAAAUAAAUAAACCCACCAGAGUGGUGAGUAGCUGAUAUGUUUACAAAUAAAUAAACCCACCAGAGUGGUGAGUAGUUGAUAUGUUUACAAACAAAACGGCUUGGGAUUUGGUCAGCUAACGCUACCUAACCCACGGGCUGCUCUGAACACUGAUUUCGGACCCGGUGGUUGUUUUUAAGACAACUCAAUAUCUGAGUUUUCAUGAACAAUUCGCAGUAACAUUCUCUCUACCUCUGACAGUGAAUACCUUCCUUCGUAAUUGAAAAUACAGAGAAAAAAGAUUCUUCCAGUGAUCCCUACAGUACUGACUAGAUUCUCCUCAGCCAUGCCAUCCUAUAGCAUGUGUCCCUGGGUCCUGCUGUUAUCUGUGCUUAAGGUCAUAACCGUGCCUGUAUUGACCUCUUCAGUAAAGGUGAAUCUUCAUGAUGAUGCUACUCUCCCCUGCACUCAGAUGUGUUCUGGUCUGGUCACAUGGACUG